RNAcentral lists this ribosomal RNA (483 nucleotides) under uncultured bacterium. RNAcentral's name for it is "partial 16S ribosomal RNA". It matches the Rfam family "Bacterial small subunit ribosomal RNA", at positions 29 to 507 of the family's 1533-position model. The record is from RNAcentral.
UUGAACGCUGGCGGCAUGCUUUACACAUGCAAGUCGAACGGCAGCGCGGGCUUCGGCCUGGCGGCGAGUGGCGAACGGGUGAGUAAUACAUCGGAACGUGCCCAGUAGUGGGGGAUAGCUCGGCGAAAGCCGGAUUAAUACCGCAUACGACCUGAGGGUGAAAGCGGGUGAUCUUCGGACCUCGCGCUAUUGGAGCGGCCGAUGGCAGAUUAGCUAGUUGGUGGGGUAAAGGCCUACCAAGGCGACGAUCUGUAGCUGGUCUGAGAGGACGACCAGCCACACUGGGACUGAGACACGGCCCAGACUCCUACGGGAGGCAGCAGUGGGGAAUUUUGGACAAUGGGCGAAAGCCUGAUCCAGCAAUGCCGCGUGUGUGAUGAAGGCCUUCGGGUUGUAAAGCACUUUUGGCGGGAACGAAAAGGACUGUGCCAAUACCACGGUUCGAUGACGGUACCCGCAGAAUAAGCACCGGCUAACUACGUG